RNAcentral lists this long non-coding RNA (464 nucleotides) under Equus caballus (horse). RNAcentral describes it as "lncRNA (ENSECAG00000047658.1)". Lineage: Eukaryota; Metazoa; Chordata; Mammalia; Perissodactyla; Equidae. The record is from RNAcentral.
AGACCUGAGGGUCAGGGCUAUCUGAUUCAUCUUCGUUUUCCCUAGAGGAAAUAACGCAGCCCUUGAUGCAUGAGGGGCAGACAGUAUAACUAAUAAAAUAAACAGAGUUCAAAGCAUGAUGUAUACUCUACACUGAUUCUGAAAGCAGGGCGGUUUGAAGUUUUCAGUAUGCCAAUUUGUUAUAUUUGACAUAACUGAUAACCAGUCUUUAAUUGAUGGCUCCUGUUUCUCUGAAGAGUUCUGGAUGUGGGAACAAUUCAGCUUUUUCCCACUUCUCAGCCAUACCAUCGUCAGUCACCUCAGAAUGUUUAAUUCUUUGGCAGACGGAACUGGUGAGGUGGCCCCCAUUACCGCCUUUCUUGACGUCAGUGAGGGAGUUGUUCCCUGUGGCUGUCUUAUGUGAAAUAAUUCAGCAUUUGUACUUCAAUUAAAUUCAUAGGUAUAUAUUAUUAAAUGGUACUGAC